UCUACGGGGGGCAGCAGUGAGGAAUAUUGGUCAAUGGGCGCGAGCCUGAACCAGCCAAGUAGCGUGGGUGAAGAAGGUCUUCGGAUCGUAAAACCCUGUUGUUAGAGAAGAAAGUGCGUGAGAGUAACUGUUCACGUUUCGACGGUAUCUAACCAGAAAGCCACGGCUAACUACGUGCCAGCAGCCGCGGUAAUACGUAGGUGGCAAGCGUUAUCCGGAUUUAUUGGGCGUAAAGGGAACGCAGGCGGUCUUUUAAGUCUGAUGUGAAAGCCUUCGGCUUAACCGGAGUAGUGCAUUGGAAACUGGGAGACUGGAGUGCAGAAGAGGAGAGUGGAACUCCAUGUGUAGCGGUGAAAUGCGUAGAUAUAUGGAAGAACACCAGUGGCGAAAGCGGCUCUCUGGUCUGUAACUGACGCUGAGGUUCGAAAGCGUGGGUAGCAAACAGGAUUAGAUACCCCUGUAGUC
This 465-nucleotide ribosomal RNA is filed under the name uncultured bacterium. Its description in RNAcentral is "partial 16S ribosomal RNA". It matches the Rfam family "Bacterial small subunit ribosomal RNA", at positions 338 to 795 of the family's 1533-position model. The record is from RNAcentral.